UACGUAGGCAGCAAGCGUUGUUCGGAAUUACUGGGCGUAAAGAGUGUGUAGGCGGUGCUCCAAGUCUGGUGUGAAAUCUCCCGGCUUAACUGGGAGGGUGCAUUAGAAACUGGAAUGCUAGAGGAUGGGAGAGGUAAGCGGAAUUCCUGGUGUAGCGGUGAAAUGCGUAGAUAUCCGGAAGAACACCAGUGGCGAAGGCGGCCCGCUGGGCAGUGGCUGACGCUGAGGCGCGACAGCGUGGGGGAGCAAACAGG
This 254-nucleotide ribosomal RNA is filed under the name uncultured bacterium. RNAcentral's name for it is "partial 16S ribosomal RNA". It matches the Rfam family "Bacterial small subunit ribosomal RNA", at positions 524 to 776 of the family's 1533-position model. The record is from RNAcentral.